RNAcentral lists this ribosomal RNA (2896 nucleotides) under Clostridioides difficile. RNAcentral describes it as "bacterial LSU rRNA". It matches the Rfam family "Bacterial large subunit ribosomal RNA". Lineage: Bacteria; Bacillati; Bacillota; Clostridia; Peptostreptococcales; Peptostreptococcaceae. The record is from RNAcentral.
UCAAGUUAUUAAGGGUGCAGGGCGGAUGCCUUGGCACUAGGAGCCGAUGAAGGACGUGAUAAGCUGCGAUAAGCUUCGGGGAGUUGCACGUAAACUUUGAUCCGAAGAUUUCCGAAUGAGGAAACUCACUUAGAGUAAUGUCUAAGUAUCAUUAAGUGAAUACAUAGCUUAAUGAGGGGAACUCAGGGAACUGAAACAUCUAAGUACCUGAAGGAAGAGAAAGAAAUUCGAUUCCGUAAGUAGCGGCGAGCGAACGCGGAUUAGCCCAAACCAAUAAAGUUUUCUUUAUUGGGGUUGCGGACAUAUCAUAACGAAGAGGUAUCGUAAUUGAAGAGGUUUGGAAAGACCCACCACAGAAGGUAAUAGUCCUGUAUGUUAAACGAAAAGACUUUAGAUAUGAUCCAGAGUACCACGGGACACGUGAAACCCUGUGGGAAGCAGGAGGGACCACCCUCCAAGGCUAAAUACUACCUAGUGACCGAUAGCGUAUAGUACCGUGAGGGAAAGGUGAAAAGAACCCCGGGAGGGGAGUGAAAUAGAACCUGAAACCCUGCACUUACAAGCUGUGGAAGCACAUUUCUUGUGUGACCGCGUACUUUUUGUAGAACGGGCCAACGAGUUACGUUAAGUAGCAAGGUUAAGCACUUAAGGUGCGGAGCCGUAGCGAAAGCGAGUUUUAACUGAGCGUUCAGUUACUUGACGUAGACCCGAAACCGGGCGACCUACCCAUGAGCAGGAUGAAGCGAAAGUAAAAUUUCGUGGAGGUCCGAACCCACGAGCGUUGAAAAGCUCGGGGAUGACUUGUGGGUAGCGGUGAAAUUCCAAUCGAGCCCGGAGAUAGCUGGUUCUCCCCGAAAUAGCUUUAGGGCUAGCCUCAAGGUGAGAGAUACGGAGGUAGAGCACUGAAUGUCCUAGGGGGUAUUGCACCUACCGAAGACUAUCAAACUCCGAAUGCCGUCAUCUUAUACUUGGGAGUCAGACUGUGGGUGAUAAGAUUCAUAGUCGAAAGGGCAACAGCCCAGAUCGUCAGCUAAGGUCCCUAAAUGUAAGUUAAGUGGUAAAGGAUGUGGGAUUGCACAGACAACCAGGAUGUUGGCUUAGAAGCAGCCACUCAUUCAAAGAGUGCGUAAUAGCUCACUGGUCGAGUGAUCCUGCGCCGAAGAUUUCCGGGGCUAAAACUUACUACCGAAGCUACGGCAUCAGUAAUGAUGGGUAGGGGAGCUUCCCAUACGGGUUGAAGCAUGACCGUAAGGACAUGUGGACAGUAUGGGAGUGAGAAUGUUGGCAUGAGUAGCGAGAUGUGGGUGAGAAUCCCACAGGCCGUAAACCCAAGGUUUCCAGGGGAAGGUUCGUCCGCCCUGGGUUAGUCGGGACCUAAGCUGAGGCCGAAAGGCGUAGGUGAUGGACAACAGGUUGAUAUUCCUGUACUACCGAUAACCGUUUGAGAGAAGGGAUGACACAGUAGGAUAAGCUAAGCACACUGUUGGUUAUGUGUGCCCAAGCAUUGAGGCAGUCAAAGUAGGCAAAUCCGCUUUGAUAAUGCUGGGAUGUGAUGGGGAGCGAAAUUUAGUAGCGAAGUAGCUGAUUUCACACUGUCAAGAAAAGUCUCUAUCGAGGUUAAAGGUACCCGUACCGCAAACCGACACAGGUGGGUGAGGAGAGUAUCCUAAGGCCAGCGAGAGAACUGUUGUUAAGGAACUCGGCAAAAUGACCCCGUAACUUAGGGAUAAGGGGUGCCACCAUCAGGUGGCCGCAGAGAAUAGGCCCAAGCGACUGUUUACCAAAAACAUAGGUUUCUGCUAAGUCGCAAGACGAUGUAUAGGAGCUGACGCCUGCCCGGUGCUGGAAGGUUAAGGGGAUCUGUUAGAGCAAUCGAAGCAGUGAACUUAAGCCCCAGUAAACGGCGGCCGUAACUAUAACGGUCCUAAGGUAGCGAAAUUCCUUGUCGGGUAAGUUCCGACCCGCACGAAAGGCGUAACGAUUUGGGCACUGUCUCAACAACAGACUCGGUGAAAUUGUAAUUCCGGUGAAGAUGCCGGAUACCUGCGACAGGACGGAAAGACCCCAUGGAGCUUUACUGUAGCUUGACAUUGGGUCUUGGUACUACAUGUACAGGAUAGGUGGGAGGCUUUGAAACCAGGACGCCAGUUUUGGCGGAGCCAUCCUUGGGAUACCACCCUUGUAGUACUGGGACUCUAACCAUAGGCCAUGAAUCUGGUCUUGGGACACUGUCAGGUGGGCAGUUUGACUGGGGCGGUCGCCUCCCAAAAGGUAACGGAGGCGCUCAAAGGUUCUCUCAGUACGGUCGGAAAUCGUACGUAGAGUGUAAAGGCAAAAGAGAGCUUGAUUGCAAGACAUACAGGUCGAGCAAGGAUGAAAAUCGGACUUAGUGAUCCGGUGGUUCUGCGUGGAAGGGCCAUCGCUCAACGGAUAAAAGCUACCCUGGGGAUAACAGGCUUAUCUCCCCCAAGAGUCCACAUCGACGGGGAGGUUUGGCACCUCGAUGUCGGCUCAUCACAUCCUGGGGCUGUAGUAGGUCCCAAGGGUUGGGCUGUUCGCCCAUUAAAGUGGUACGCGAGCUGGGUUCAGAACGUCGUGAGACAGUUCGGUCCCUAUCCGUCGCAGGCGUAGGAAAUUUGAGAAGACCUGUCCUUAGUACGAGAGGACCGGGAUGGACGUACCUCUGGUGUACCAGUUGUCCUGCCAAGGGCAUGGCUGGGUAGCUAUGUACGGAAUGGAUAAGCGCUGAAAGCAUCUAAGCGCGAAGCCAACUUCAAGAUAAGAUUUCCCACCGCAAGGGUAAGACCCCAGAAAGACUAUCUGGUUGAUAGGUCGAAGGUGUAAGUGCAGCAAUGUAUUUAGCUUAUCGAUACUAAUAGGUCGAGGACUUGACCAA